CUUCAGCGAGCCGAGCCACAACGGACGCUCCGCGGGCCGGUCCUGGCCGUAGACGGCGAGCAGUGCCUGGGCCUC
Molecule: non-coding RNA, 75 nt
Organism: Streptomyces caelestis
Lineage: Bacteria; Bacillati; Actinomycetota; Actinomycetes; Kitasatosporales; Streptomycetaceae
Rfam family: ASpks TB sRNA
Source: Rfam